Aedes albopictus (Asian tiger mosquito) is the source of this 141-nucleotide small nuclear RNA. RefSeq annotates it as U4 spliceosomal RNA. The transcript has a single exon. NCBI's taxonomy places the organism in Eukaryota, Metazoa, Arthropoda, Insecta, Diptera, Culicidae. The record is from RefSeq and is a predicted model, not a curated record.
AUUCUUGCGCAGUGGCGAUAUCGUUACCAAUGAGUUACAACCGAGGUGCGAUUAUUGCUAGUUGAAAGCUAAUACCAGGAUAUUCUUGAGGGAUCUUUCAUGGAGUUUCUUCAAGAAUUCUUCCAGGAUAUCCUUCUGGAA